This 250-nucleotide ribosomal RNA is filed under the name uncultured bacterium. Its description in RNAcentral is "partial 16S ribosomal RNA". It matches the Rfam family "Bacterial small subunit ribosomal RNA", at positions 524 to 776 of the family's 1533-position model. The record is from RNAcentral.
AACGUAGGUGGCGAGCGUUAUCCGGAUUUACUGGGCGUAAAGGGUGUGCAGGCGGGCCAUUAAGUGGUGUAUGAAAUAUCCCGCUCACCGGGAGAGGUUAUGCCAGACUGGUGGUCUAGAGAGCGAGAGAGGGACGUGGAAUUCCGGGUGUAGUGGUGAAAUGCGUAGAGAUCCGGAGGAACCCAGAGGCGAAGGCGGCGUCCUGGCUCGCAUCUGACGCUCAGACACGACAGCAUGGGGAGCGAACGGG